UGGGGAAUAUUGGACAAUGGGGGGAACCCUGAUCCAGCCAUGCCGCGUGUGUGAAGAAGGCCUCUUGGUUGUAAAGCACUUUAAGCGAGGAGGAGGCUACUCUAGUUAAUACCUAGAGAUAGUGGACGUUACUCGCAGAAUAAGCACCGGCUAACUCUGAGCCAGCAGCCGCGGUAAUACAGAGGGUGCGAGCGUUAAUCGGAUUUACUGGGCGUAAAGCGUGCGUAGGUGGCCAAUUAUGUCAAAUGUGAAAUCCCCGGGCUUAACUUGGGAAUUGCAUUCGAUACUGGUUGGCUAGAGUAUGGGAGAGGAUGGUAGAAUUCCAGAUGUAGCGGUGAAAUGCGUAGAGAUCUGGAGGAAUACCGGUGGCGAAGGCGGCCCCCUGGACAAAGACUGACGCUCAGGUGCGAAAGCGUGGGGAGCAAACA
RNAcentral lists this ribosomal RNA (428 nucleotides) under uncultured Acinetobacter sp. RNAcentral describes it as "bacterial SSU rRNA". It matches the Rfam family "Bacterial small subunit ribosomal RNA", at positions 355 to 774 of the family's 1533-position model. Lineage: Bacteria; Pseudomonadati; Pseudomonadota; Gammaproteobacteria; Moraxellales; Moraxellaceae. The record is from RNAcentral.